AGUGAACGCUGGCGGUAGGCCUAACACAUGCAAGUCGAACGGCAGCACAGUAAGAGCUUGCUCUUACGGGUGGCGAGUGGCGGACGGGUGAGGAAUACAUCGGAAUCUACUUUUUCGUGGGGGAUAACGUAGGGAAACUUACGCUAAUACCGCAUACGACCUACGGGUGAAAGCAGGGGAUCUUCGGACCUUGCGCGAUUGAAUGAGCCGAUGUCGGAUUAGCUAGUUGGCGGGGUAAAGGCCCACCAAGGCGACGAUCCGUAGCUGGUCUGAGAGAAUGAUCAGCCACACUGGAACUGAGACACGGUCCAGACUCCUACGGGAGGCAGCAGUGGGGAAUAUUGGACAAUGGGCGCAAGCCUGAUCCAGCCAUACCGCGUGGGUGAAGAAGGCCUUCGGGUUGUAAAGCCCUUUUGUUGGGAAAAAAAAGCAGCAGGUUAAUACCCCGCUGUUCUGACGGUACCCAAAGAAUAAGCACCGGCUAACUUCGUG
RNAcentral lists this ribosomal RNA (492 nucleotides) under uncultured bacterium. RNAcentral's name for it is "partial 16S ribosomal RNA". It matches the Rfam family "Bacterial small subunit ribosomal RNA", at positions 29 to 507 of the family's 1533-position model. The record is from RNAcentral.